GAUCAACGCUGGCGGCGUGCCUAAUGCAUGCAAGUCGAGCGGGGUGGGUUUCGGCUCACUUACGCGGCGGACGGGUGCGUAACACGUGGGCAAUCUGCCCUGGGGUGGGGGAUAGCCGUGGGAAACCGCGGGUAAUUCCGCAUACGUGCUGUGGUCGAGAGGACGGCAGCAGAAAGGGUCUUUCGGGACGCGCCCUGGGAGGAGCCUGCGGCCGAUUAGCUGGACGGUGGGGUGACGGCCUACCGUGGCGAUGAUCGGUAGCUGGUCUGAGAGGACGGCCAGCCACACGGGGACUGAGACACGGCCAGACUCCUACGGGAGGCAGCAGUGGGGAAUCUUGCGCAA
This 345-nucleotide ribosomal RNA is filed under the name uncultured bacterium. RNAcentral's name for it is "bacterial SSU rRNA". It matches the Rfam family "Bacterial small subunit ribosomal RNA", at positions 28 to 371 of the family's 1533-position model. The record is from RNAcentral.